RNAcentral lists this small nucleolar RNA (68 nucleotides) under Nomascus leucogenys (northern white-cheeked gibbon). Its description in RNAcentral is "Small nucleolar RNA SNORD115 (ENSNLEG00000023293.2)". It matches the Rfam family "Small nucleolar RNA SNORD115", at positions 10 to 82 of the family's 82-position model. Rfam says of the family: HBII-52 is a member of the C/D class of snoRNAs, which contain the C (UGAUGA) and D (CUGA) box motifs. HBII-52 is encoded in a tandemly repeated array with another C/D snoRNA, HBII-85, in the Prader-Willi syndrome (PWS) region of chromosome 15. The record is from RNAcentral. Lineage: Eukaryota; Metazoa; Chordata; Mammalia; Primates; Hylobatidae.
GUGUAAAGAGUAUCUUCAGGAGACGUAAUAAUGUAAAAAUCAUGCUCAGUAGGAUUAAGCUGAGGCUC